Molecule: ribosomal RNA, 438 nt
Filed under: uncultured fungus
Lineage: Eukaryota; Fungi
Description: eukaryotic LSU rRNA
Rfam family: Eukaryotic large subunit ribosomal RNA
Source: RNAcentral
GAUCUCAAAUGAAGCAAGAUUACCCGCUGAACUUAAGCAUAUUAUUAAGCGGAGGAAAAGAAACUAACAAGGAUGCCCUCAGUAACGGCGAGUGAAGCGGGCAAAGCUCAACCUGAAAAUCGGAUUCCUUAGCGGGAUUUCGAAUUGUGGGCUACAGACGCGUAAUCAGUGUGUGACCCAGGUAUAAAUCUCUUUGAAACGAGGUAUCAUAGAGGGUGAGAAUCCCGUCUGUGACUUGGAGUUCGCCGCGUACGAUUCGUGUUCGCAGAGUCGCGUUGUUUGGGAUUGCAGCGCUAAAUGGGUGGUAAAUUUCAUCUAAAGCUAAAUAUCGACGAGAGACCGAUAGCGAACAAGUACCGUGAGGGAAAGAUGAAAAGAACUUUGAAAAGAGAGUUAAAAAGUACUUGAAAUUGCUAAGAGGGAAGCACUGGAAACCAG